ACUAGAUCUAGCUGAAUAAUAUCAACCUAACCUAAUUAUAUAGAACUACUAAACCAAAACAUUUACACCGCUCAAAGUAUAGGAGAUAGAAAUGACCCCAUCAAGCUAUAGAGCCAGUACCGUAAGGGAAAGAUGAAAGAAUUAUACUAAUAGUAAAAAAUAGCAAAGAUUAAACCUUAUACCUUUUGCAUAAUGAGUUAACUAGAAAUAACUUGACACAAAGAAUUUUAGCCAAGUACCCCGAAACCAGACGAGCUACCUAAAAAUAAUUUUUAGAAUCCACUCAUCUAUGUUGCAAAAUAGUGAGGUGAUUUUUGGGUAGAGGUGAAAAGCCAAUCGAGCCUGGUAAUAGCUGGUUGUCCACCAUAGAAUUUAAGUUCAACCUAAAAUUUACUUAUCAUACUAAUUAACUAAACCGUAAGUUUUAGACAUAGUUAAAAGAGGUACAGCUCUUUUAACACAGGAUUCAACCUAGAAUAGAGAGUAAAUUCUUAAAACAUCAUAGUAGGCCUAAAAGCAGCCACCAAUUAAGAAAGCGUUUAAGCUCAACACCCAUAAAAACCAGUAAAUUCUAUCAACAGAAUCUAGCUCCUAUUUCACUCACUGGACUAAUCUAUUAACUUCAUAGAUGAACUAAUGUUAACAUAAGUAACAAGAAAAUAAUUUUCUCCUUGCACUAGUUUACAACCUAACGAAUACUCAUUGUUGAUUAACAAUUUUAUAACAACACCCAUAAAUUAAUUAGAUAUUAACCCACUUGUUAACCCAACACAGGAGUGCUAAAAGGAAAGAUUCAAAGAAGUAAAAGGAACUCGGCAAACUAAAAUCCCGCCUGUUUACCAAAAACAUCACCUCUAGCAUCUUAAGUAUUAGAGGCACUGCCUGCCCAGUGACACAUUAAACGGCCGCGGUACUCUGACCGUGCAAAGGUAGCAUAAUCAUUUGUCUCCUAAAUAGAGACUUGUAUGAAAGGCUUAACGAGGAUUUAACUGUCUCUUACUUUUAAUCAGUGAAAUUGACCUCCCCGUGAAGAGGCGGGGAUAAAAACAUAAGACGAGAAGACCCUAUGGAGCUUAAAUGAACAACUCAAAGUCUAAAUCCUCAAGCCCAACAGGGCCUAACCUCUACAAACAUGAGCUGCUAAUUUUGGUUGGGGUGACCUCGGAGAACAAAAAAACCUCCGAAGAACUACUUCUAAGACUUACAUGUCAAAGUUCUACUACAGUAUCUCAAUGACCCAAUUAAUUAAUUGAUCAACGGACCAAGUUACCCUAGGGAUAACAGCGCAAUCUUACUCAAGAGUUCCUAUCGACAGUAAGGUUUACGACCUCGAUGUUGGAUCAGGACAUCCAAGUGGUGCAGCAGCUACUAAAGGUUCGUUUGUUCAACGAUUAAAGUCCUACGUGAUCUGAGUUCAGACCGGAGAAAUCCAGGUCGGUUUCUAUCUAUGUAAUAAUUUCUCCUAGUACGAAAGGACAAGAGAAAUAAGGCCAACUACUCUUCUAGUGCCUUAAAUUUAAGUAUGAAUUAAUCUCAAUAUAACUAUAGCAACAAUAACCCUAGACAAGGGUUC
This 1573-nucleotide ribosomal RNA is filed under the name Micropotamogale lamottei (Nimba otter shrew). RNAcentral describes it as "partial 16S ribosomal RNA". It matches the Rfam family "Bacterial large subunit ribosomal RNA", at positions 377 to 2837 of the family's 2925-position model. The record is from RNAcentral. Lineage: Eukaryota; Metazoa; Chordata; Mammalia; Afrosoricida; Tenrecidae.